UACGAAGGGGGCUAGCGUUGCUCGGAAUUACUGGGCGUAAAGGGCGCGUAGGCGGCACUGUUAGUCAGGCGUGAAAUUCCUGGGCUCAACCUGGGGACUGCGCUUGAUACGGCAGAGCUUGAGGAUGGAAGAGGGUCGCGGAAUUCCCAGUGUAGAGGUGAAAUUCGUAGAUAUUGGGAAGAACACCGGUGGCGAAGGCGGCGACCUGGUCCAUUACUGACGCUGAGGCGCGACAGCGUGGGGAGCAAACAGG
Molecule: ribosomal RNA, 253 nt
Filed under: uncultured bacterium
Lineage: Bacteria
Description: partial 16S ribosomal RNA
Rfam family: Bacterial small subunit ribosomal RNA
Source: RNAcentral